GAUGAACGCUGGCGGUAUGCUUAACACAUGCAAGUCGAACGGACUCUUCGGAGUUAGUGGCGGACGGGUGAGUAACGCGUGAGAAUCUGGCUUUGGGUUCGGGACAACCACUGGAAACGGUGGCUAAUACCGGAUGUGCCGAGAGGUAAAAGAGAAAUUGCCUGAAGAUGAGCUCGCGUCUGAUUAGCUAGUUGGUGAGGUAAAGGCUCGCCAAGGCAGCGAUCAGUAGCUGGUCUGAGAGGAUGACCAGCCACACUGGGACUGAGACACGGCCCAGACUCCUACGGGAGGCAGCAGUGGGGAAUUUUCCGCAAUGGGCGAAAGCCUGACGGAGCAAUACCGCGUGAGGGAAGAAGGCUCUUGGGUUGUAAACCUCUUUUCUUAGGGAAGAACAAAAUGACGGUACCUAAGGAAUCAGCAUCGGCUAACUCCGUG
Molecule: ribosomal RNA, 435 nt
Filed under: uncultured bacterium
Lineage: Bacteria
Description: partial 16S ribosomal RNA
Rfam family: Bacterial small subunit ribosomal RNA
Source: RNAcentral